RNAcentral lists this ribosomal RNA (660 nucleotides) under uncultured bacterium. RNAcentral describes it as "bacterial SSU rRNA". It matches the Rfam family "Archaeal small subunit ribosomal RNA", at positions 142 to 784 of the family's 1478-position model. The record is from RNAcentral.
GGCGCUAAUCCCCGAUAGGUGAGAUUGCCUGGAACGGGUUCUCAUCUAAAAGGCGUAUGAACCAUGCUUUCAUACGUCGCUCAAGGAUGGGGCCGCGGCCGAUCAGGUUGUUGGUGAGGCAACGGCUCACCAAGCCUAUAACCGGUACGGGCCGUGAAAGCGGAAGCCCGGAGAUGGGCACUGAGACAAGGGCCCAGGCCCUACGGGGCGCAGCAGUUGCGAAAACUCCGCAAUGCGCGAAAGCGUGACGGGGCCACCCCGAGUGCCGUCCGCUGAGGAUGGCUUUUCCACGGUGUAAGGAGCCGUGGGAAUAAGGAGAGGGCAAGACUGGUGUCAGCCGCCGCGGUAAUACCAGCUCUUCGAGUGGUGGGGACGAUUAUUGGGCUUAAAGCGUUCGUAGCCGGCCUGACAAGUCUUCCGUUAAAUCCAGCGAUCUAAUUGUUGGGCUCCGGGAGAUACUGUUGGGCUAGGGGGCGGGAGAAGCCGACGGUAUUCUCGGGGUAGGGGUGAAAUCCUGUAAUCCCGGGAGGACCACCAGUGGCGAAGGCGGUCGGCUAGAACGCGCCCGACGGUGAGGGACGAAAGCUGGGGGAGCAAACCGGAUUAGAUACCCCGGAUAGUCCCAGCUGUAAACGAUGCGGGCUAAGUGUCGGGGCGGCC